UUCGCUGACGAGUGGCGGACGGGCGAGUAAUGUCUGGGAAACUGCCUGAUGGAGGGGGAUAACUACUGGAAACGGUAGCUAAUACCGCAUAACGUCGCAAGACCAAAGAGGGGGACCUUCGGGCCUCUUGCCAUCGGAUGUGCCCAGAUGGGAUUAGCUAGUAGGUGGGGUAACGGCUCACCUAGGCGACGAUCCCUAGCUGGUCUGAGAGGAUGACCAGCCACACUGGAACUGAGACACGGUCCAGACUCCUACGGGAGGCAGCAGUGGGGAAUAUUGCACAAUGGGCGCAAGCCUGAUGCAGCCAUGCCGCGUGUAUGAAGAAGGCCUUCGGGUUGUAAAGUACUUUCAGCGGGGAGGAAGGGAGUAAAGUUAAUACCUUUGCUCAUUGACGUUACCCGCAGAAGAAGCACCGGCUAACUCCGUGCCAGCAGCCGCGGUAAUA
This 445-nucleotide ribosomal RNA is filed under the name Escherichia coli. RNAcentral's name for it is "bacterial SSU rRNA". It matches the Rfam family "Bacterial small subunit ribosomal RNA", at positions 84 to 525 of the family's 1533-position model. The record is from RNAcentral. Lineage: Bacteria; Pseudomonadati; Pseudomonadota; Gammaproteobacteria; Enterobacterales; Enterobacteriaceae.